AUGGCCGCUGGCUCCCUAGACACCUGGUCAAGUGCACCUCCAGAACAAGCAGCGAACAUCUUAAAGAAGCUUGUUCUGACCGUGGGCAUUUCUUUGGACCAGCGCCGCAAGAACAUGUCACUUGAGGGGGCUGGUGAUUCUACUCCAGAUGAGCUUUCUACGACCAUCCAGGUCCAGGACGACUCUCAUGGUGGCAAGAAGCACUUCGUUGAAGUUGUGAAGGCUAUAGAUGACGUGAAUGCGUACAAGGUAUACGACAAGCUCCGUGUUGAGAGGAUGAACUGGCACCAGUUAGGAGCUUGGAUGAAGAUGGCUACCCGCAUGGAGAAAGAGGAGAAGAAGUGA
Molecule: ribosomal RNA, 345 nt
Filed under: Triticum aestivum (bread wheat)
Lineage: Eukaryota; Viridiplantae; Streptophyta; Magnoliopsida; Poales; Poaceae
Description: partial small subunit ribosomal RNA
Source: RNAcentral